AUACAGAGGGUGCGAGCGUUAAUCGGAAUUACUGGGCGUAAAGCGCGCGUAGGCGGCUUGGUCAGUCGGAUGUGAAAGCCCCGGGCUCAACCUGGGAAUGGCAUUCGAUACUGCCAGGCUAGAGUAUGGGAGAGGGAAGUGGAAUUUCCAGUGUAGCGGUGAAAUGCGUAGAUAUCGGAAGGAACACCAGUGGCGAAGGCGACUUCCUGGCCCAAUACUGACGCUGAGGUGCGAAAGCGUGGGGAGCGAACAGGAUUAGAAACCCCAGUAGUCC
This 274-nucleotide ribosomal RNA is filed under the name uncultured bacterium. RNAcentral's name for it is "partial 16S ribosomal RNA". It matches the Rfam family "Bacterial small subunit ribosomal RNA", at positions 523 to 796 of the family's 1533-position model. The record is from RNAcentral.